Molecule: ribosomal RNA, 772 nt
Filed under: Photorhabdus luminescens subsp. sonorensis
Lineage: Bacteria; Pseudomonadati; Pseudomonadota; Gammaproteobacteria; Enterobacterales; Morganellaceae
Description: partial 23S ribosomal RNA
Rfam family: Bacterial large subunit ribosomal RNA
Source: RNAcentral
GGGUUGUGAGGUUAAGCGAAUAAGCGUACACGGUGGAUGCCUAGGCAGUCAGAGGCGAUGAAGGACGUGCUAAUCUGCGAAAAGCGCCGGUGAGCUGAUAUGAAGCAUUAUUAGCCGGCGAUGUCCGAAUGGGGAAACCCAGUGCAAUGCGUUGCACUAUCAUUAACUGAAUCCAUAGGUUAAUGAGGCGAACCGGGGGAACUGAAACAUCUCAGUACCCCGAGGAAAAGAAAUCAACCGAGAUUCCCCCAGUAGCGGCGAGCGAACGGGGAGGAGCCCAGAACCAGCAUCAGCCACAGCAUCAGAGGAACGGUCUGGAAAGGCCGGCGAGAGAGGGUGACAGCCCCGUACUCGAAGAUGGCGUGGUUGUGAGUUCGACGAGUAAGGCGGGACACGAGAAAUCCUGUCUGAAGAGGGGGGGACCAUCCUCCAAGGCUAAAUACUCCUGACUGACCGAUAGUGAACCAGUACCGUGAGGGAAAGGCGAAAAGAACCCCGGCGAGGGGAGUGAAAGAGAACCUGAAACCGUGUACGUACAAGCAGUGGGAGCCCCACCACCAAAGCGUUUCGCUUUGCGUGGUGCACAAAAUGCGUAACGGCAUCACUGAUGCGCGGUUGGCGGAGCGACAGCGACGCCCAACACAAUCAUCAAGCAGUGGAGCGUUUUGGGGUGGGGUGACUGCGUACCUUUUGUAUAAUGGGUCAGCGACUUAUAUUCUGUAGCAAGGUUAACCGGAUAGGGGAGCCGCAGGGAAACCGAGUCUUAACUGGG